RNAcentral lists this ribosomal RNA (740 nucleotides) under Algivirga sp. Its description in RNAcentral is "bacterial SSU rRNA". It matches the Rfam family "Bacterial small subunit ribosomal RNA", at positions 72 to 809 of the family's 1533-position model. Lineage: Bacteria; Pseudomonadati; Bacteroidota; Cytophagia; Cytophagales; Flammeovirgaceae. The record is from RNAcentral.
GGGGGAGCUUGCUCCCGCCGACGACCGGCGCACGGGUGCGUAACGCGUAUGCAACCUGCCCAUGACUGGGGGACAGCCCGGGGAAACCCGGAUUAAUACCCCAUAAAACAGGGGCGCCUCAUGGCGAUAUUUGUUAAAGCUUCGGCGGUCAUGGAUGGGCAUGCGUGGGAUUAGCUAGUUGGUAAGGUAACGGCUUACCAAGGCCACGAUCCCUAGGGGGCCUGAGAGGGUAGCCCCCCACACUGGCACUGAGACACGGGCCAGACUCCUACGGGAGGCAGCAGUAGGGAAUAUUGGGCAAUGGAGGAAACUCUGACCCAGCCAUGCCGCGUGGACGAUGAAGGCCUUCGGGUUGUAAAGUCCUUUUACACGGGAAGAACCGUUCCGAUGCGUCGGGGCCUGACGGUACCGUGCGAAUAAGCACCGGCUAACUCCGUGCCAGCAGCCGCGGUAAUACGGAGGGUGCGAGCGUUGUCCGGAUUUAUUGGGUUUAAAGGGUACGUAGGCGGCGUAUUAAGUCAGUGGUGAAAUCCUGCGGCUCAACCGUAGAACAGCCAUUGAUACUGGUAUGCUUGAGUAUUGUUGAGGUAGGCGGAAUUUGUGGUGUAGCGGUGAAAUGCAUAGAUACCACAAGGAACACCAAAUGCGAAGGCAGCUUACUGGGCAAUAACUGACGCUCAUGUACGAAAGCGCGGGGAGCGAACAGGAUUAGAUACCCUGGUAGUCCGCGCCGUAAACGA